This 786-nucleotide ribosomal RNA is filed under the name uncultured bacterium. RNAcentral's name for it is "bacterial SSU rRNA". It matches the Rfam family "Bacterial small subunit ribosomal RNA", at positions 10 to 793 of the family's 1533-position model. The record is from RNAcentral.
AGUUUGAUCCUGGCUCAGGAUGAACGCUGGCGGCGUGCCUAACACAUGCAAGUCGAGCGAGAUUAAUGGAAGUGGAGACUUCGGUCAAAGCGACCAUUAUGAAAGCGGCGGACGGGUGAGUAACGCGUGAGCAAUCUGCCCCAUACAAAGGGAUACCCACUGGAAACGGUGAUUAAUACCUUAUAAGACCACGAUGCCGCAUGGCAAUGGGGUCAAAGAUUUAUCGGUAUGGGAUGAGCUCGCGUCUGAUUAGCUAGUUGGUAAGGUAAUGGCUUACCAAGGCGACGAUCAGUAGCCGACCUGAGAGGGUGAACGGCCACACUGGAACUGAGACACGGUCCAGACUCCUACGGGAGGCAGCAGUGGGGAAUAUUGCACAAUGGGCGCAAGCCUGAUGCAGCAACGCCGCGUGAAUGAUGAAGGCCUUCGGGUCGUAAAGUUCUGUCCAAAGGGAAGAAUACAGUGACGGUACCUUUGGAGGAAGCCCCGGCUAACUACGUGCCAGCAGCCGCGGUAAUACGUAGGGGGCAAGCGUUAUCCGGAAUCACUGGGCGUAAAGGGAGCGUAGGCGGUUUGACAAGCCAGAGGUGAAAGGCAAUAGCUUAACUAUUGUAAGCCUUUGGAACUGUCGAACUUGAGUGCAGGAGAGGAAAGUGGAAUUCCUAGUGUAGCGGUGAAAUGCGUAGAUAUUAGGAGGAACACCAGUGGCGAAGGCGACUUUCUGGACUGUAACUGACGCUGAGGCUCGAAAGCGUGGGGAGCGAACAGGAUUAGAUACCCUGGUAG